AGCUCGUGUCGUGAGAUGUUCGGUUAAGUCCGCUAACGAGCGCAACCCUCGCUGUGUGUUACAAGUGUCACACGGUACUGCCGAUAUUAAGUCGGAGGAAGUGGGGAUGACGUCAAGUCAGCAUGACCUUUAUAUCCAGGGCUACACACACGCUACAAUGGCCAGUACAAUGGGUUGCCAAGCCGCGAGGCGGAGCCAAUCCUAAAAAGCUGGCCUCAGUUCAGAUUGCAGUCUGCAACUCGACUGCAUGAAGUUGGAGUUGCUAGUAACCGCAGGUCAGCAAUACUGCGGUGAAUACGUUCCCGGGGAUU
Molecule: ribosomal RNA, 311 nt
Filed under: uncultured Anaerolineaceae bacterium
Lineage: Bacteria; Bacillati; Chloroflexota; Anaerolineae; Anaerolineales; Anaerolineaceae
Description: bacterial SSU rRNA
Rfam family: Bacterial small subunit ribosomal RNA
Source: RNAcentral